Molecule: ribosomal RNA, 831 nt
Filed under: uncultured bacterium
Lineage: Bacteria
Description: bacterial SSU rRNA
Rfam family: Bacterial small subunit ribosomal RNA
Source: RNAcentral
AGUUGAACGGGAUUUGUAUGGUGCUUGCACCAUGUAAUGAGAGUAGCGCACUGGUGAGUAACACGUGGGAACAUACCUUGAAGUGGGGGACAACAGUUGGAAACGACUGCUAAUACCGCAUAAUCCCUGAGGGGGAAAGAUUUAUCGCUUUAAGAUUGGCCCGCGGAAGAUUAGGUAGUUGGUGGGGUAAAGGCCUACCAAGCCGACGAUCUAUAGCUGGUCUGAGAGGACGAACAGCCACAUUGGAACUGAGACACGGUCCAGACUCCUACGGGAGGCAGCAGUGAGGAAUAUUGGGCAAUGGAGGAAACUCUGACCCAGCCAUGCCGCGUGAGUGAAGAAGGUUUUCGAAUUGUAAAGCUCUUUCGGAUGGGACGAUGAUGACGGUACCAUCUAAAGAAGCCCCGGCAAACUUCGUGCCAGCAGCCGCGGUAAUACGAAGGGGGCAAGCGUUGUUCGGAAUUACUGGGCGUAAAGGGUGUGUAGGCGGAUUUGUAAGAUAGUGGUGAAAUACCUGAGCUCAACUUAGGAAUUGCCAUUAUAACUAUAGAUCUGGAGUGACAGAGAGGAUAUUGGAAUACCCAGUGUAGAGGUGAAAUUCGUAGAUAUUGGGUAGAACACCAGUGGCGAAGGCGAGUAUCUGGCUGUCAACUGACGCUGAGGCACGAAAGCAUGGGGAUCAAAUAGGAUUAGAUACCCUGGUAGUCCAUGCUGUAAACGAUGAAUGCUAGUUGUCGGCAAAAGCCGGUGACGCAGUUAACGCGAUAAGCAUUCCGCCUGGGGAGUACGGUCGCAAGAUUAAAACUCAAAGGAAUUGACGGGGACCCGCAC